This 2268-nucleotide ribosomal RNA is filed under the name Escherichia coli. RNAcentral's name for it is "partial 23S ribosomal RNA". It matches the Rfam family "Bacterial large subunit ribosomal RNA", at positions 693 to 2925 of the family's 2925-position model. The record is from RNAcentral. Lineage: Bacteria; Pseudomonadati; Pseudomonadota; Gammaproteobacteria; Enterobacterales; Enterobacteriaceae.
CGUUAAGUUGCAGGGUAUAGACCCGAAACCCGGUGAUCUAGCCAUGGGCAGGUUGAAGGUUGGGUAACACUAACUGGAGGACCGAACCGACUAAUGUUGAAAAAUUAGCGGAUGACUUGUGGCUGGGGGUGAAAGGCCAAUCAAACCGGGAGAUAGCUGGUUCUCCCCGAAAGCUAUUUAGGUAGCGCCUCGUGAAUUCAUCUCCGGGGGUAGAGCACUGUUUCGGCAAGGGGGUCAUCCCGACUUACCAACCCGAUGCAAACUGCGAAUACCGGAGAAUGUUAUCACGGGAGACACACGGCGGGUGCUAACGUCCGUCGUGAAGAGGGAAACAACCCAGACCGCCAGCUAAGGUCCCAAAGUCAUGGUUAAGUGGGAAACGAUGUGGGAAGGCCCAGACAGCCAGGAUGUUGGCUUAGAAGCAGCCAUCAUUUAAAGAAAGCGUAAUAGCUCACUGGUCGAGUCGGCCUGCGCGGAAGAUGUAACGGGGCUAAACCAUGCACCGAAGCUGCGGCAGCGACACUAUGUGUUGUUGGGUAGGGGAGCGUUCUGUAAGCCUGUGAAGGUGGCCUGUGAGGGUUGCUGGAGGUAUCAGAAGUGCGAAUGCUGACAUAAGUAACGAUAAAGCGGGUGAAAAGCCCGCUCGCCGGAAGACCAAGGGUUCCUGUCCAACGUUAAUCGGGGCAGGGUGAGUCGACCCCUAAGGCGAGGCCGAAAGGCGUAGUCGAUGGGAAACAGGUUAAUAUUCCUGUACUUGGUGUUACUGCGAAGGGGGGACGGAGAAGGCUAUGUUGGCCGGGCGACGGUUGUCCCGGUUUAAGCGUGUAGGCUGGUUUUCCAGGCAAAUCCGGAAAACCAAGGCUGAGGCGUGAUGACGAGGCACUACGGUGCUGAAGCGACAAAUGCCCUGCUUCCAGGAAAAGCCUCUAAGCAUCAGGUAACAUCAAAUCGUACCCCAAACCGACACAGGUGGUCAGGUAGAGAAUACCAAGGCGCUUGAGAGAACUCGGGUGAAGGAACUAGGCAAAAUGGUGCCGUAACUUCGGGAGAAGGCACGCUGAUAUGUAGGUGAAGCGACUUGCUCGUGGAGCUGAAAUCAGUCGAAGAUACCAGCUGGCUGCAACUGUUUAUUAAAAACACAGCACUGUGCAAACACGAAAGUGGACGUAUACGGUGUGACGCCUGCCCGGUGCCGGAAGGUUAAUUGAUGGGGUUAGCGGUAACGCGAAGCUCUUGAUCGAAGCCCCGGUAAACGGCGGCCGUAACUAUAACGGUCCUAAGGUAGCGAAAUUCCUUGUCGGGUAAGUUCCGACCUGCACGAAUGGCGUAAUGAUGGCCAGGCUGUCUCCACCCGAGACUCAGUGAAAUUGAACUCGCUGUGAAGAUGCAGUGUACCCGCGGCAAGACGGAAAGACCCCGUGAACCUUUACUAUAGCUUGACACUGAACAUUGAGCCUUGAUGUGUAGGAUAGGUGGGAGGCUUUGAAGUGUGGACGCCAGUCUGCAUGGAGCCGACCUUGAAAUACCACCCUUUAAUGUUUGAUGUUCUAACGUUGGCCCGUAAUCCGGGUUGCGGACAGUGUCUGGUGGGUAGUUUGACUGGGGCGGUCUCCUCCUAAAGAGUAACGGAGGAGCACGAAGGUUGGCUAAUCCUGGUCGGACAUCAGGAGGUUAGUGCAAUGGCAUAAGCCAGCUUGACUGCGAGCGUGACGGCGCGAGCAGGUGCGAAAGCAGGUCAUAGUGAUCCGGUGGUUCUGAAUGGAAGGGCCAUCGCUCAACGGAUAAAAGGUACUCCGGGGAUAACAGGCUGAUACCGCCCAAGAGUUCAUAUCGACGGCGGUGUUUGGCACCUCGAUGUCGGCUCAUCACAUCCUGGGGCUGAAGUAGGUCCCAAGGGUAUGGCUGUUCGCCAUUUAAAGUGGUACGCGAGCUGGGUUUAGAACGUCGUGAGACAGUUCGGUCCCUAUCUGCCGUGGGCGCUGGAGAACUGAGGGGGGCUGCUCCUAGUACGAGAGGACCGGAGUGGACGCAUCACUGGUGUUCGGGUUGUCAUGCCAAUGGCACUGCCCGGUAGCUAAAUGCGGAAGAGAUAAGUGCUGAAAGCAUCUAAGCACGAAACUUGCCCCGAGAUGAGUUCUCCCUGAGACUUAGAGUCUCCUGAAGGAACGUUGAAGACGACGACGUUGAUAGGCCGGGUGUGUAAGCGCAGCGAUGCGUUGAGCUAACCGGUACUAAUGAACCGUGAGGCUUAACCUUACAACGCCGAAG